AUUGAACGCUGGCGGCAUGCUUUACACAUGCAAGUCGAACGGCAGCGCGGGCUUCGGCCUGGCGGCGAGUGGCGAACGGGUGAGUAAUGCAUCGGAACGUGCCCAGUAGUGGGGGAUAGCCCGGCGAAAGCCGGAUUAAUACCGCAUACGACCUGAGGGUGAAAGCGGGGGACCGAAAGGCCUCGCGCUUUUGGAGCGGCCGAUGUCGGAUUAGCUAGUUGGUGGGGUAAAGGCUUACCAAGGCGACGAUCCGUAGCUGGUCUGAGGGGACGACCAGCCACACUGGGACUGAGACACGGCCCAGACUCCUACGGGAGGCAGCAGUGGGGAAUUUUGGACAAUGGGGGCAACCCUGAUCCAGCCAUGCCGCGUGCGGGAAGAAGGCCUUCGGGUUGUAAACCGCUUUUGUUCGGGAAGAAAUCCUCUGGGCUAAUACCCCGGGGGGAUGACGGUACCGGAAGAAUAAGCACCGGCUAACUACGUG
RNAcentral lists this ribosomal RNA (484 nucleotides) under uncultured bacterium. Its description in RNAcentral is "partial 16S ribosomal RNA". It matches the Rfam family "Bacterial small subunit ribosomal RNA", at positions 28 to 507 of the family's 1533-position model. The record is from RNAcentral.